Molecule: transfer RNA, 73 nt
Filed under: Rhodothermales bacterium
Lineage: Bacteria; Pseudomonadati; Rhodothermota; Rhodothermia; Rhodothermales
Description: tRNA-Arg
Rfam family: tRNA
About the family: Transfer RNA (tRNA) molecules are approximately 80 nucleotides in length. Their secondary structure includes four short double-helical elements and three loops (D, anti-codon, and T loops).
Source: RNAcentral
GCCCCGGUAGCUCAGUGGAUAGAGCAACGGUUUCCUAAACCGUUGGUCGCAGGUUCAAUUCCUGCCCGGGGUA